Molecule: ribosomal RNA, 237 nt
Filed under: uncultured bacterium
Lineage: Bacteria
Description: partial 16S ribosomal RNA
Rfam family: Bacterial small subunit ribosomal RNA
Source: RNAcentral
UACGUAGGGUGCGAGCGUUGUCCGGAAUUAUUGGGCGUAAAGGGCUCGUAGGCGGUUUGUCGCGUCGGGAGUGAAAACUCAGGGCUUAACCCUGAGCCUGCUUCCGAUACGGGCAGACUAGAGGUAUGCAGGGGAGAGUGGAAUUCCUGGUGUAGCGGUGAAAUGCGCAGAUAUCAGGAGGAACACCGGUGGCGAAGGCGGGUCUCUGGGCCGAUGACUGACGCUGGAGGAAGCGAA